GACGUAGGGUGCAAGCGUUGUCCGGAUUUACUGGGCGUAAAGAGCGCGUAGGCGGUCUGUUAAGUGUAGAGUGAAAUCUCCAGGGCUCAACCCGGAAACUGCUCUGCAUACUGGCAGACUUGAGGGACUGAGAGGUGAAUGGAAUUCCUGGUGUAGCGGUGAAAUGCGCAGAUAUCAGGAGGAACACCAAUUGCGAAGGCAGCUCGCUGGGACGUGACUGACGCUGAGACGCGAAAGCGUGGGGAGCAAACAGG
Molecule: ribosomal RNA, 254 nt
Filed under: uncultured bacterium
Lineage: Bacteria
Description: partial 16S ribosomal RNA
Rfam family: Bacterial small subunit ribosomal RNA
Source: RNAcentral